This 92-nucleotide transfer RNA is filed under the name Pseudomonadota bacterium. RNAcentral's name for it is "Proteobacteria bacterium (groundwater metagenome) tRNA-Ser". It matches the Rfam family "tRNA". From Rfam's summary of the family: Transfer RNA (tRNA) molecules are approximately 80 nucleotides in length. The record is from RNAcentral. Lineage: Bacteria; Pseudomonadati; Pseudomonadota.
GGAGAGGUGACCGAGAUGGCUGAAGGUGCACGCCUGGAAAGCGUGUGUAUCCUAACCGGGUACCGAGGGUUCGAAUCCCUCCUUCUCCGCCA